AUGAGCUUGUAUGUUCUGGAUCAUGAGCAGAUCCUUUCUUUCUCCACACUUUGGCCUUUCCAUCAGUAGAGGUUCAUCUUCUUUCAGGCAUUUAUUUAGAGGCCAAUUCAAGAGCUGACCAAGACGUAAACUGACAUGUUUCUCAGAGAUAGUGAUAGGAAAGAAGUAAAGUCCUGUAACUCUGGAUCAUGCGCGCCCUCUAGUGGAUAUUCAGGACAAGACAGGUUUGUGUACUGGAUAAAUCUGCACAGUAUUGGCUCCUCUGCCCCGUCCAUCAGCAGGAAAUGUACCAACAUUGAGCAGAUUCUGAGUAUCUGGGUAUAUUUUUAAAAAUAAUUUUUAAAUCACAAUGAGAUCACUCUGAAUAAUUCAGGUUUUGAGCUAGAGCUGAUAACAAACCGAGUCAGAGAUAAAAUUAUUCUUACUGUCCUGAUCUCCUGGUGUCUCUCACACACUAAUUCACUAUCUGCUGUCUAAGUUGGUUAGCUGUUAGCAAUGAACCGCGCAUUUAAAUUCGAUAUUCAAUGUGUAUAUAACAUAAACCGAUCCAUACUGAUAAUAAUUAUAUUUUUAUGAUUUUUCAAAUCAU
Molecule: long non-coding RNA, 589 nt
Organism: Ictalurus punctatus (channel catfish)
Lineage: Eukaryota; Metazoa; Chordata; Actinopteri; Siluriformes; Ictaluridae
Source: Ensembl